RNAcentral lists this ribosomal RNA (460 nucleotides) under uncultured bacterium. RNAcentral describes it as "partial 16S ribosomal RNA". It matches the Rfam family "Bacterial small subunit ribosomal RNA", at positions 338 to 795 of the family's 1533-position model. The record is from RNAcentral.
CCUACGGGAGGCAGCAGUGAGGAAUAUUGGUCAAUGGGCGCGAGCCUGAACCAGCCAAGUCGCGUGAGGGAUGACUGCCCUACGGGUUGUAAACUUCUUUUAUAAGGGAGUAAAGUGCGGCACGUGUGCCUUUUUGUAUAUACUUUAUGAAUAAGGAUCGGCUAACUCCGUGCCAGCAGCCGCGGUAAUACGGAGGAUCCGAGCGUUAUCCGGAUUUAUUGGGUUUAAAGGGGGCGUAGACGGGUUGUUAAGUCAGUUGUGAAAGUUUGCGGCUCAACCGUAAAAUCGCAAUUGAUACUGGCAUUCUUGAGUACAUGUGAGGUAUGCGGAAUGCGUGGUGUAGCGGUGAAAUGCUUAGAUAUCACGCAGAACUCCGAUUGCGAAGGCAGCUUACUAAACUGCCACUGACGCUGAUGCUCGAAAGUGUGGGGAUCAAACAGGAUUAGAUAUCCGAGUAGUC